CAAUAGCGAUUGUUAAGUCACCUUAAAUUCUUUUGAAACAAGAUAAAUGAGAAAUCAACCAACUAGCAAUUCAAGAAACAAGUGAAACAUAAAUAAGAAAGGACUUGCCCCAGCUACUGGAACUGCUGUCAGCAUUGGUCUCCAGUCGUCAACUUCUUCAGGGAAUGCCUCAGGACAGCCCAUAUCAAAUGACUGACUGCAGCGGAAGUGGGGGCAGGUACUGUGUUAAGGCACUGGUGAUAUGGAUACAUAAACACACAGUUUCAAAAGGCAGCAAUAAGAAACAGAUAAUUUCAAUAUGUAGUUUUCAUUUGGACUGUCCAGAGAGAAGAGAGAAUGGCAUCCAACCCAAUGAUAAGUGGAGAUGAAUGGAAAAGAUGUCCUGAGAAGGACUGAACUGAAGUUAAGGCAAAGGUCUGAGAGAGGACACUACAUGGAGAGGAAACAGCAUGAACAAACAGUCAUAAAACAAUGUGUGAAAACAAGUACUUCAGUAAUCCAAGAGCACUGUUAAACUGUGGGAAAAAAGAGGGGAAGAGAGAAUGUACUUCAAGAUCAUGCAAAAUAAACGUACAAACAUAA
Felis catus (domestic cat) is the source of this 582-nucleotide long non-coding RNA. RefSeq lists it as uncharacterized. The transcript has 3 exons. NCBI's taxonomy places the organism in Eukaryota, Metazoa, Chordata, Mammalia, Carnivora, Felidae. The record is from RefSeq and is a predicted model, not a curated record.